Molecule: long non-coding RNA, 565 nt
Organism: Oncorhynchus tshawytscha (Chinook salmon)
Lineage: Eukaryota; Metazoa; Chordata; Actinopteri; Salmoniformes; Salmonidae
Source: Ensembl
CGCUCCCAGCCCGGCCAGUGUGGAGAGGGAGAGGCCAGACCUGAAGUCCUCCCAGCCAGGGUCGCUCCCAGCCCGGCCAGUGUGGAGAGGGAGAGUCUAGUGUCUCCAUACCUGGUUCUUCUUGAACUCCGAACUGUCAAAGACCCGGUGAAGGAGAACCAGUGAACGGACCAGGAAUGUUCUCCUGCGGUGCUACAGGGGCCCAAGGUUGACAGACAGUCAAUGUUGAGACAAAGAUGUCUUUAUUUAAACAGGGAGUCAAUGCUGAGACCAGGGAGUCAAUGCUGAGACCAAGGUGUCUUUAUUUAGACAGGGAGUCAAUGCUGAGACCAAGGUGUCUUUAUUUAGACAGGGAGUCAAUGUUGAGACCAAGGUGUCUUUAUUUAGAGACAGGGAGUCAAUGCUGAGACCAAGGUGUCUUUAUUUAGAGACAGGGAGUCAAUGCUGAGACCAAGGUGUCUUUAUUGAGACAGGGAGAGGUAGAGGUCAUGUGAUGUAAUUACACAGGCCGAUGCUGCAGGGAUGUAGAGGUCAUGUGAUGUAAUUACACAGGCCGAUGCUGCAG